GCAUAUCAAUAAGCGGAGGAAAAGAAACCAACAGGGAUUGCCCUAGUAACGGCGAGUGAAGCGGCAACAGCUCAAAUUUGAAAUCUGGCCUUCGGGUCCGAGUUGUAAUUUGUAGAGGAUGCUUUUGGUGAGGUGCCUUCCGAGUUCCCUGGAACGGGACGCCAUAGAGGGUGAGAGCCCCGUCUGGUUGGACACCGAUCCUCUGUAAAGCUCCUUCAACGAGUCGAGUAGUUUGGGAAUGCUGCUCUAAAUGGGAGGUAUAUGUCUUCUAAAGCUAAAUAUUGGCCAGAGACCGAUAGCGCACAAGUAGAGUGAUCGAAAGAUGAAAAGCACUUUGAAAAGAGAGUUAAAAAGUACGUGAAAUUGUUGAAAGGGAAGCGCUCAUGACCAGACUUGGGCUUGGUUGAUCAUCCAGGGUUCUCCCUGGUGCACUCUUCCAGUUCAGGCCAGCAUCAGUUCGCUGCGGGGGAUAAAGGCUUUGGGAAUGUGGCUCCCUCGGGAGUGUUAUAGCCCAUUGUGUAAUACCCUGUGGUGGACUGAGGAC
RNAcentral lists this ribosomal RNA (544 nucleotides) under Nectriaceae sp. Its description in RNAcentral is "LSU rRNA". It matches the Rfam family "Eukaryotic large subunit ribosomal RNA", at positions 38 to 593 of the family's 3401-position model. The record is from RNAcentral. Lineage: Eukaryota; Fungi; Ascomycota; Sordariomycetes; Hypocreales; Nectriaceae.